CGAAAAACUCGCAGGUG
RNAcentral lists this microRNA (17 nucleotides) under Macrophomina phaseolina MS6. RNAcentral's name for it is "miR-2147b". Lineage: Eukaryota; Fungi; Ascomycota; Dothideomycetes; Botryosphaeriales; Botryosphaeriaceae. The record is from RNAcentral.